GAAGGAACAGCCAAAAUCACAGUGAG
Molecule: non-coding RNA, 26 nt
Filed under: Cricetulus griseus (Chinese hamster)
Lineage: Eukaryota; Metazoa; Chordata; Mammalia; Rodentia; Cricetidae
Source: RNAcentral